GGUUAAGCGACUAAGCGUACACGGUGGAUGCCCUGGCAGUCAGAGGCGAUGAAGGACGUGCUAAUCUGCGAUAAGCGUCGGUAAGGUGAUAUGAACCGUUAUAACCGGCGAUUUCCGAAUGGGGAAACCCAGUGUGAUUCGUCACACUAUCAUUAACUGAAUCCAUAGGUUAAUGAGGCGAACCGGGGGAACUGAAACAUCUAAGUACCCCGAGGAAAAGAAAUCAACCGAGAUUCCCCCAGUAGCGGCGAGCGAACGGGGAGCAGCCCAGAGCCUGAAUCAGUGUGUGUGUUAGUGGAAGCGUCUGGAAAGGCGCGCGAUACAGGGUGACAGCCCCGUACACAAAAAUGCACAUGCUGUGAGCUCGAUGAGUAGGGCGGGACACGUGGUAUCCUGUCUGAAUAUGGGGGGACCAUCCUCCAAGGCUAAAUACUCCUGACUGACCGAUAGUGAACCAGUACCGUGAGGGAAAGGCGAAAAGAACCCCGGCGAGGGGAGUGAAAAAGAACCUGAAACCGUGUACGUACAAGCAGUGGGAGCACGCUUAGGCGUGUGACUGCGUACCUUUUGUAUAAUGGGUCAGCGACUUAUAUUCUGUAGCAAGGUUAACCGAAUAGGGGAGCCGAAGGGAAACCGAGUCUUAACUGGGCGUUAAGUUGCAGGGUAUAGACCCGAAACCCGGUGAUCUAGCCAUGGGCAGGUUGAAGGUUGGGUAACACUAACUGGAGGACCGAACCGACUAAUGUUGAAAAAUUAGCGGAUGACUUGUGGCUGGGGGUGAAAGGCCAAUCAAACCGGGAGAUAGCUGGUUCUCCCCGAAAGCUAUUUAGGUAGCGCCUCGUGAAUUCAUCUCCGGGGGUAGAGCACUGUUUCGGCAAGGGGGUCAUCCCGACUUACCAACCCGAUGCAAACUGCGAAUACCGGAGAAUGUUAUCACGGGAGACACACGGCGGGUGCUAACGUCCGUCGUGAAGAGGGAAACAACCCAGACCGCCAGCUAAGGUCCCAAAGUCAUGGUUAAGUGGGAAACGAUGUGGGAA
Molecule: ribosomal RNA, 1040 nt
Filed under: Escherichia coli
Lineage: Bacteria; Pseudomonadati; Pseudomonadota; Gammaproteobacteria; Enterobacterales; Enterobacteriaceae
Description: partial 23S ribosomal RNA
Rfam family: Bacterial large subunit ribosomal RNA
Source: RNAcentral